This 422-nucleotide ribosomal RNA is filed under the name uncultured bacterium. RNAcentral's name for it is "bacterial SSU rRNA". It matches the Rfam family "Bacterial small subunit ribosomal RNA", at positions 207 to 621 of the family's 1533-position model. The record is from RNAcentral.
AAGACCUUACGCUUUUGGAGCGGCCGAUGUCUGAUUAGCUUGUUGGUGAGGUAAAGGCUUACCAAGGCUUCGAUCAGUAGCUGGUCUGAGAGGACGACCAGCCACACUGGGACUGAGGCACGGCCCAGACUCCUACGGGAGGCAGCAGUGGGGAAUUUUGGACAAUGGGGGAAACCCUGAUCCAGCCAUGCCGCGUGAGUGAAGAAGGCCUUCGGGUUGUAAAGCUCUUUCAGCCGGGAAGAAAAGGUUGCGAUUAAUAAUCGCAAUUUAUGACGGUACCGGAAGAAGAAGCACCGGCUAACUACGUGCCAGCAGCCGCGGUAAUACGUAGGGUGCGAGCGUUAAUCGGAAUUACUGGGCGUAAAGCGUGCGCAGGUGGUUUUGUAAGUCAGAUGUGAAAGCCCCGGGCUCAACCUGGGAAC